UCAUCAAGUAGCAUGCCAUCUGGUGCACUUGUCUUAAUGCUGGGUACUAUUAGCGAUCUCAGCUCCAAAUGAACCUUUUUAUAAUUCAAGUCAAUCAGGGUGAUCGAAUUCACGGGAUUAGUACUUUAGUCUAAAGCCAGCAUGAGCUUCGGCCGUGCGCAGAUGCUAGAUGCACAACUCAGCGUAUUGCCCCGCGUUCAUUCAGGCUGUCCCGCAUCUAUAGAUCUCCAGACAGAAUCAGUGCAGUUUCG
Molecule: long non-coding RNA, 251 nt
Filed under: Coccomyxa subellipsoidea
Lineage: Eukaryota; Viridiplantae; Chlorophyta; Trebouxiophyceae; Coccomyxaceae
Description: long non-coding RNA (CSUB_LNC000213)
Source: RNAcentral